UUUGAAAACAGGUGAAUCGUUGAACUCUGUGAAGAGCGUCUAAACAACGUGCAGUAGAUGAUUUGGGAUCAGACCUUGCUGUCGUUUGAUGGGAUACUGUCGAUUGAUGAGUUGAGAAGUAUGGUGACAUAUGACGAACGAGGAGUAAAAGCUCCUUAAGGCGAAGAAUCAUGCAAAGUAUUGCUAGAUAUAAGGUAUCGUAGCUUACGGGGAGGACAAUAAAAAGCGUAGCGAAAAACGCUCGCCUCUCCUUGCUGGCGCUUAAAAAGGGAUUUUUAAGAAAGUCGAAGGAACAUCCAACCAACUCCUAUGCUGUGAAGGUUAGAAAUAACCUAUAACGUAAGAAGCGAGUAAAAGUAGCUCAAAGGCAGAAAUUAAACCUAGUUAUGGUAGACAAAUUGACUGAAUGUUUGAGUGAAAUUUGUGGUCCGUUGUGAUCGACAGCACUUAAGGUUGUUUUCAACUGUAUAAAGCAAGAGAAAGUUUCAGGUCGCUCCUGAGGCUCAGUCUUCUUGGGUGCGUGACUGAAUAAUAUCACACCAAUAUGGCGUAGAGAGAAAUACUCCAAUGAUUCAUUUGUUUUG
This 584-nucleotide small RNA is filed under the name Enterococcus saccharolyticus subsp. saccharolyticus ATCC 43076. RNAcentral's name for it is "ROOL RNA". It matches the Rfam family "ROOL RNA". Rfam says of the family: Firmicutes, Fusobacteria (1 example), Tenericutes (1 example). Environment (Cow rumen (57)) Lineage: Bacteria; Bacillati; Bacillota; Bacilli; Lactobacillales; Enterococcaceae. The record is from Rfam by way of RNAcentral.